UUCAAGAAGAAUACAGAGAGGCCAGGAUAGCAAAUCUGAAGGCAGUUGGUUACCGUACUUGGGAUAAGCUCAUUCUCAGGGAAGAUGCUGAUAUUGGCGGAGAAUCCAUUGAUGAAGAUAUUGAUGAAUAUUAGAAAGCAUUAUCCUUAUCCCCUCCAACUAUAUACUCCUAUUUAGUUAACUAGAUUAGGUUCUUAUUUAUUUUGUAUUUAUCAUGUACAUAGUUUAGAAUUAUCUUUCACUGUAUUUUGUGUAUAAAUACACUACCAAUGUAUUCAAUAAAAUGAAACAGAGAAUUUCCUUUUCAUGGUAUCAGAGCCAAACAGUUCACACCUUUUUCAUGGCUGAUUCUAUCUCUUCUCUGCUUCCGCUCAAUACAAUGGUCCAUAUGGUGACCAUCAAACUCACUUCCUCCAAUUUUCUUUUGUGGCGCAGUCAGUUUAUUCCCCUUCUUGAAAGCCAUGAUCUCAUGGGCUUCUUAGACGGAUCAUCCGUUGCUCCUUCUCCUCUCAUUGCCGAAGGAACUGCCCGGGUCCAAAUUCAGCCUACAAGAAAUGGCGUAAUCAGGAUCGUAUGUUGCUCAGCCUCAUCUAUGCUUCCUUGUCUGAGGAGUGUAUGGCCGAGGUUGUCAAUUGUGCUACUGCCCGUGAUGCUUGGUUGACUCUCAAAACAUCAUUUUCUCAUAGCUCCAAGACACGUGAAAUUCAGCUGAAAGACAAACUUCAAUUGCUCUAGCGUGGCUCUCGUAGCGUGGCUAACUGUGCUCGCUCUUUUCGCUCUCUCUGUAACCAACUCUCUGCCAUUGGGAAGUCCGUUGAUGAUAUAGACAAGGUGCAUUGGUUUCUUCGUGGUCUUGGCCCUGAUUAUAAAAAUUUUUCCACCACUAUGCUGUCACAAUGUCCACUGCCUUCCUUCGCCACUAUGGUCUCGCAAGCUCUUAGCCAUGAGCUCUUCUCUCGAUCCAUCCAUGGUGAAGUCCAACAACAAUCUGCUUUCAUUGCCAGCCGCGGCUCCUCCAUUAUUUCUACUGGCCGAAACAAACAUCACUCCUCUUCCAAAAUGCACAGCCGCAACUCUUCCAAAUCUGCUGCUGUUACUUGCCAUUGGUGUGGCAAAGAUAAUUACACAACCAAGAAGUGUUAUAAACUUGGUAAGUUGCUGAAAAAGGCUAAAGAUGGUGGUCUCAUUGAAGCUUUUUCAGCAACCUCUCUUGCAGACUCUCACGACAUCGAGUGGUACACGGAUACAGGGGCGACUUAACAUAUGACUAAUGAUGCAUUGAAUCUUGACUCCUCCAUUCCUUACAAUGGAUUUGGCAACAAGAGCGGUGAUGGGAGUCGGCCGAUGUGAGAAAGACCUCUAUGUACUUGAUCGUGCCCAUGUAAAUUUUUUGUCUUCUGUUGCUCUUUGUAAUAAUCAUGCUACCUCCGUCGUUUGGCAUACACGUUUAGGACAUCCUUCUAUUAUGAUUUUGUCUUCUUUACACAAGCAUGGUGAUAUUUUA
Molecule: long non-coding RNA, 1504 nt
Organism: Olea europaea var. sylvestris
Lineage: Eukaryota; Viridiplantae; Streptophyta; Magnoliopsida; Lamiales; Oleaceae
Exons: 3
Source: RefSeq, a predicted model, not a curated record